This 492-nucleotide ribosomal RNA is filed under the name uncultured bacterium. RNAcentral describes it as "partial 16S ribosomal RNA". It matches the Rfam family "Bacterial small subunit ribosomal RNA", at positions 29 to 507 of the family's 1533-position model. The record is from RNAcentral.
AGUGAACGCUGGCGGUAGGCCUAACACAUGCAAGUCGAACGGCAGCACAGUAAGAGCUUGCUCUUACGGGUGGCGAGUGGCGGACGGGUGAGGAAUACAUCGGAAUCUACUUUUUCGUGGGGGAUAACGUAGGGAAACUUACGCUAAUACCGCAUACGACCUACGGGUGAAAGCAGGGGAUCUUCGGACCUUGCGCGAUUGAAUGAGCCGAUGUCGGAUUAGCUAGUUGGCGGGGUAAAGGCCCACCAAGGCGACGAUCUGUAGCUGGUCUGAGAGGAUGAUCAGCCACACUGGAACUGAGACGCGGUCCAGACUCCUACGGGAGGCAGCAGUGGGGAAUAUUGGACAAUGGGCGCAAGCCUGAUCCAGCCAUACCGCGUGGGUGAAGAAGGCCUUCGGGUUGUAAAGCCCUUUUGUUGGGAAAGAAAAGCAGCAGGUUAAUACCCCGCUGUUCUGACGGUACCCAAAGAAUAAGCACCGGCUAACUUCGUG